UACGUAGGUGGCAAGCGUUGUCCGGAAUUAUUGGGCGUAAAGCGCGCGCAGGCGGUCCUUUAAGUCUGAUGUGAAAGCCCACGGCUCAACCGUGGAGGGUCAUUGGAAACUGGGGGACUUGAGUGCAGAAGAGGAAAGCGGAAUUCCAGGUGUAGCGGUGAAAUGCGUAGAUAUCUGGAGGAACACCGGUGGCGAAGGCGGCAUCCUGGACCGGUAUUGACGCUGAGGCGCGAAAGCUAGGGGAGCAAACGGG
RNAcentral lists this ribosomal RNA (253 nucleotides) under uncultured bacterium. RNAcentral's name for it is "partial 16S ribosomal RNA". It matches the Rfam family "Bacterial small subunit ribosomal RNA", at positions 524 to 776 of the family's 1533-position model. The record is from RNAcentral.